GAUGAACGCUGACAGAAUGCUUAACACAUGCAAGUCAACUUGAAUUUGGGUUUUUAACUUAGAUUUGGGUGGCGGACGGGUGAGUAACGCGUAAAGAACUUGCCUCACAGCUAGGGACAACAUUUAGAAAUGAAUGCUAAUACCUGAUAUUAUGAUUUUAAGGCAUCUUAGAAUUAUGAAAGCUAUAAGCACUGUGAGAGAGCUUUGCGUCCCAUUAGCUAGUUGGAGAGGUAACAGCUCACCAAGGCGAUGAUGGGUAGCCGGCCUGAGAGGGUGAACGGCCACAAGGGGACUGAGACACGGCCCUUACUCCUACGGGAGGCAGCAGUGGGGAAUAUUGGACAAUGGACCGAGAGUCUGAUCCAGCAAUUCUGUGUGCACGAUGAAGUUUUUCGGAAUGUAAAGUGCUUUCAGUUGGGAAGAAAAAAAUGACGGUACCAACAGAAGAAGUGACGGCUAAAUACGUGCCAGCAGCCGCGGUAAUACGUAUGUCACGAGCGUUAUCCGGAUUUAUUGGGCGUAAAGCGCGUCUAGGUGGUUAUGUAAGUCUGAUGUGAAAAUGCAGGGCUCAACUCUGUAUUGCGUUGGAAACUGUAUAACUAGAGUACUGGAGAGGUAAGCGGAACUACAAGUGUAGAGGUGAAAUUCGUAGAUAUUUGUAGGAAUGCCGAUGGGGAAGCCAGCUUACCGGACAGAUACUGACGCUAAAGCGCGAAAGCGUGGGUAGCAAACAGG
RNAcentral lists this ribosomal RNA (735 nucleotides) under uncultured Fusobacterium sp. RNAcentral describes it as "bacterial SSU rRNA". It matches the Rfam family "Bacterial small subunit ribosomal RNA", at positions 28 to 776 of the family's 1533-position model. The record is from RNAcentral. Lineage: Bacteria; Fusobacteriati; Fusobacteriota; Fusobacteriia; Fusobacteriales; Fusobacteriaceae.